AGGGACAACUGGUAACAAAUGGUUUGCAGCAGGGAAGAAGUGUGGUGACCUGACUAGAUUGGGUUUUGAGAAGGCCACUUUGGCAGCAGUGUGGGAAAAGGCUGACUGGGUAAGAGUGGAGCCUAGGCUAGGAGGAGCUGACCUGCUUGUUGGGCUAUCAGUACCAACCAUGUGUUCCCAUUGCACAGAUGGGGCAGCUGAGGCCUGAGAAAUGACACGACCAAGUUCAGAGCUCAUGUCUCUUGAUUUCUAGGACAGAUACUGCUGGUACCUUUAUCCUGAUAAAACCUGGGUUUUAGCUGAGCCUUGUGCACCGCAUGUGGAGAGCUCUGAGGCAUCUGUGUGGAAUGCUGUCCACAGGGAAGAAGAGGCCUGGGGAGAACAAGGCUGGUUCUAACCCUCUGAAGAAAGUCCCCAGCUCCGAUUAGCCCCAGAAAGUCCAUCAAAAUUCUUACCAGAGUCCUAAAAAGAAGGUAAUGUAAUAAACUUGAGUUUUCUCUCUGUGUAUUUUCUCA
This 515-nucleotide long non-coding RNA is filed under the name Felis catus (domestic cat). RNAcentral's name for it is "lncRNA (ENSFCAG00000049079.1)". Lineage: Eukaryota; Metazoa; Chordata; Mammalia; Carnivora; Felidae. The record is from RNAcentral.